Molecule: ribosomal RNA, 451 nt
Filed under: uncultured bacterium
Lineage: Bacteria
Description: partial 16S ribosomal RNA
Rfam family: Bacterial small subunit ribosomal RNA
Source: RNAcentral
AACGAACGCUGGCGGCAGGUCUUAGGCAUGCAAGUCGAACGGGUGUAGUAAUACACCAGUGGCGAACGAGUGAGUAACGCGUGGGAAUCUGCCCAUCUCUGGGGAAUAACGUUUGGAAACGAACGCUAAUACCGCAUACGCCCGCAAGGGGAAAGAUUUAUCGGAGAUGGAUGAGACCGCGUUGGAUUAGUUAGUUGGUGGGGUAACGGCCUACCAAGGCGAUGAUCCAUAGCUGGUCUGAGAGGACGAUCAGCCACGCUGGAACUGAGAUACGGUCCAGACUCAUACGGGAGGCAGCAGCUGCGAGUAUUGGGCAAUGGAGGAAUCUCUGGCCCAGCCAUGCCGCGUGAGUGAUGAAGGCCUUAGGGUUGUAAAGCUCUUUCGACGGGGACGAUGAUGACGGUACCCGUAGAAGAAGCCCCGGCUAACUUCGUGCCAGCCGCCGCCGUAA